AGCGCGCCCUUCGGGGUGAGCGGCGGACGGGUUAGUAACGCGUGGGAACGUGCCCUUUGGUACGGAAUAGCCUCUGGAAACGGAGAGUAAUACCGUAUGAGCCCUUCGGGGGAAAGAUUUAUCGCCAAAGGAUCGGCCCGCGUUAGAUUAGGUAGUUGGUGGGGUAAUGGCCUACCAAGCCUACGAUCUAUAGCUGGUUUUAGAGGAUGAUCAGCAACACUGGGACUGAGACACGGCCCAGACUCCUACGGGAGGCAGCAGUGGGGAAUAUUGGACAAUGGGCGAAAGCCUGAUCCAGCAAUGCCGCGUGAGUGAUGAAGGCCUUAGGGUUGUAAAGCUCUUUUACCAGGGAUGAUAAUGACAGUACCUGGAGAAUAAGCUCCGGCUAACUCCGUGCCAGCAGCCGCGGUAAUACGGAGGGGGUUAGCGUUGUUCGGAAUUACUGGGCGUAAAGCGCACGUAGGCGGACCAGAAAGUUGGGGGUGAAAUCCCGGGGCUCAACCCCGGAACUGCCUCCAAAACUAUUGGUCUAGAGUUCGAGAGAGGUGAGUGGAAUUCCAAGUGUAGAGGUGAAAUUCGUAGAUAUUUGGAGGAACACCAGUGGCGAAGGCGACUGACUGGACAAGU
RNAcentral lists this ribosomal RNA (627 nucleotides) under uncultured bacterium. RNAcentral's name for it is "bacterial SSU rRNA". It matches the Rfam family "Bacterial small subunit ribosomal RNA", at positions 65 to 738 of the family's 1533-position model. The record is from RNAcentral.